This 790-nucleotide ribosomal RNA is filed under the name uncultured euryarchaeote. Its description in RNAcentral is "bacterial SSU rRNA". It matches the Rfam family "Archaeal small subunit ribosomal RNA", at positions 85 to 878 of the family's 1478-position model. Lineage: Archaea; Methanobacteriati; Methanobacteriota. The record is from RNAcentral.
ACUGCUCAGUAACACGUAGAUAAUCUGCCUUAAGGCGCAUAAUACCCUCGGGAAACUGAGGUUAACGAUGCAUAGGAAAAAAUUUCUGCAACGAGUUUUUUCUGAAACGCAAGGCCUUAAGAUGAGUCUGCGGCUGACUAGGUAGUUGUUGAGGUAAUGACUCAACAAGCCAAUUAUCAGUAAGGGCCCUUAACGGGGGUGCCCUGAGAAGGACUCUGAGACACUAGUCCUAGCUCUAUGGAGUGCAGCAGGCGCGAAAAUUUCUCAAUGUCCGCAAGGAUGAAGAAGGAAUCCGAAGUGCUGUUUUUUUAAAAACAGCUUUUCUCUACUGCAAAAAGGCAGAGGAAUAAGGGCUGGGUAAGACCGGUGCCAGCCGCCGCGGUAAUCCCGGCAGCUCAAGUGGUGGCCACAUUUACUAGGUCUAAAACAUUCGUAGCUCGUCGAGCAAGUUUCUUGUCAAAUUUUACAGCUUAACUGUAAAGCGCGCAGGAAAUACUGCUUGGCUUGGGAUCGGGAGACGCAACGAGUACAGCCAAGGUAGCGGUAAAAUGUUUUAAUCUUGGCUGGACUAACAAUGGCGAAGGCACGUUGCGAGAACGACUCUGACGGUGAUGAAUGAAGGCCAGGGGCGCAAAAUGGAUUAGAUACCCAUGUAGUCCUGGCUGUAAACACUGCUUACUAAACAUCGUGAUCUCCUCGAGAGAUUGCGGUGCUGUAGCGAAGGCGUAGAGUAAGCUACCUGGGGAUUACAGUCGCAAGACCGAAACUUAAAGGAAUUGGCGGGGGAGCA